Pomacea canaliculata is the source of this 5075-nucleotide long non-coding RNA. RefSeq lists it as uncharacterized. The record is from RefSeq and is a predicted model, not a curated record. The transcript is spliced from 2 exons. NCBI's taxonomy places the organism in Eukaryota, Metazoa, Mollusca, Gastropoda, Architaenioglossa, Ampullariidae.
ACGUUUGUCGGCAGCUCAGAAUGUUUGUUGACAGAAUGUUUGUUGACAGAAUGUUUGUUGACAGAAAGUUUGUUGACAGAAUGUUUGUUGACAGAAUGUUUGUUGACAGAAUGUUUGUUCGCUGUGGCGUGGCGAUCAGAGGGAAAUCGUUGCAAUUUGUUUUCAAAAGAAGUUUGCACUAAGUGAGAUUGAAAACUAGUGAAAAAGGCUUUAGAUUGAAGGCGGCCCGAUCACCGCUAAAUAGCCCACAAAUAGUUUGGGGUGGGUAGGUGCUUGCCAUUUGUGAGUCAUACUUACCUGGCACUGGAGGUACCUUGAUCACCUUGGAGGUCCUUUCAGGGCGAGGCCUGUCCAUUGCACUAGGGGCGGGUUGACCCCUGCGAUCACCGCAAAUGUAGGUGACUCGAGUGCGUACUCUAUUCGUAAGGGGGACUACGUUCCCGCUAUACCUGUUAAAAAAUACAAAGCAAAACCCCCAAACCCUAAAGCAACUCUUGGAGACUUUCAACCGAGGAUCCUUAGUGGUGUCACGUUCCAUUUCUUAUCAUCGUUUUCACCCAUUAGUUUGAAACCUAUGAUAUUUAUUCUUGGAAUCUUGCCUAACUUAUCGUCUGUGCUGUGCUGGCCUAUUCACAAUUCACUACACGUACCCGCACUCACUUUCUUCGUGCAACACCACAAUCUAACCAGUACACGUAAACAUGUAUAUAGUCGUCUGCCGAGCUGAGCCUAGAGCGGAUCAUCAGCAUUUAUAAUAAAAACGGACUGCAAUAAUAGUUGGAAAAGUUGCCUUGUCCACAGUUUUUAAUACAGCAGGCAGAAGAUGAUUUCAGACAAAAUGGUGAAAGGACCGUUUGCCGUUUGAGGGUGGAAGGAAGACUGUCUGUCGUUCCCUGAGCGAGCCUAAGCAGAAAGAGGAGAAAUCUGGCAAGAUGGUUACACCACUUGGUAGCGACGCCACAUAGCAAGCUUGGUUUAGCGUGGGACGAGUGAGAGGAGAUGGGCAAGCGAAGAGCUGCAGCGUUGUAGUGGCACUCGCUCGCACUCACGCACAUAAUGAGUCUUGUACAGAAGGUUCAAGCAACAACCAGGAAUUGAAAGAGACGGCUGAAGCCUGAAGGGACGGCUGACCGUCCGUUAGGAGUUAGAUAAGUUUAGGUCGGCGGGGGUCUAGUAGCGGGAAGCUACUGCUACACCUUAGUUGUGGUCACAACAGCAUGAAGCUCCACCCCUCCCCCCUAUUUCACCCUUGGGCGUCACUUGCGGGUGCGUCCCCUAGGUCCUAGGACGCCCCAUGUAGGAGAAAGGCUACAGAGAGAAAUAGGCGGUAGGCGCCGCGGGGCGUCCAGCCGUGAGAUGCCUGUUUGUUGUCCCUGCGGCCGGUAGGCAACCGGAUUGUCAGGAUCUCGUAAUACCCUCGUGAAAUGGCCAACCAGCGAGCGAGCCAGUGGCGGUCCACAUUCCUCCUAGUCGGCUAUCUAUAUAAUCAGAUCCGUUCAUCUCAUCUACGGUUUGGGGCGUUUUGGUUACAAUUUGUAGCUACUUUGGUGUUUGAAGCUCUAUUGUUAUAAUAAUGAGUAGGGAGAGCCAUGGAGAAGACUCAAGGAAAAUUGAACGGUUUUGUUAAUGUUACAGGUGCUGGGGCAGUAUGAAUAGCAGUUGUGUGUUUACACAGUCGGUACAUUUCAGUGGGAUUUUCGGUUGGUUCGUCUGACUCGCUUGUUAAAGUUUGAAGAGCUUUUUUAAAUAGGAGAACUCGUUUGGAUGGAGUACUACUAUCAGCAGACUGGGCGAGGUCUGCAGAACAUGAAGGAAGAGGGGGAAGAUGCCCGUGCUGCUGCUGCUUCCGAUGAUGAUGAUGUUGAUGUGAAGGAAGUGGCUGAAAGAAUCAGAGAUGAGGGCUAUGAUGAAGGACAUGUUGAGGACCUGACCAUUGCUUCGGCAGAGGAGGGAUCAUACCUGUCUGUCCACCUGUUCCUAGACCAAAGCCAGCCAUCUCUGCCCCUCCCAGUCUUCCACUUGAGGACCCUCAUUCUUCUUUAUCUCUCCCAGACACAGCACCAUCCACAUUGGAGCAGCAUGCUGGUGUAAGUUAUUUUUUAAAAUGGAUGGAGAUUUGUAGUAGAAAAGUGAAAAUGCCUGCUUCCAGCCUACAUCGCUUGUUGUAUUACCUUUGCAUUGCUUUAACUAUUGUCAUAGGAAUGUUUUGGUCCAGACAGUAUUCAAGGGAAUGACAAGGUACACAAGCUCUUCGUAUACUUUUUCUCCAUAUGCAAUUAGUAAUGCUUCUUUCGAACCAGCUAGUAGUUUUGAUUUUUCUCACUGUGGAAUGACCUGACUGUUUUUGACAAGAGGCUGAGAGCAUUUGCGCCACGACAUCAGGCAUCAUCAAAAGGGCGAUUCAAGGCUGCCAAGAAAAGCUGCUUGACACCUGGGGUUGAGGUUACACAAAGGUAUAAUGCUCGGUCAAAGAAAGGUGAACAGCAAGUUCUGGAAGAUGGUGUCGGGGCUCCACUGCCUUAUCCAACUUCUACAGAGUCUUUGCCUCCAGUUGUUGUGAGAUCACAAGCCCUGACGAUGGGAGAUGCUCCACAGCAUGACUCUGAACUGAAAAAGAACACAGCAGUCACUGCUACAGUAAGGUCUUGAUUGAAGCAAGUGCCUGAUGCCUUGUUGUCUCAAGCGCGUAUGGUCAGGUCUAUCUUCCAAAUGCUCUUGCUAAAGUAGAACCUGUGCAGGAUUCUUCACCUGUGCCCUAUUCCACCUUCUGGUACAGAAAAAAGCACAUGCAGGAGGAUGGAAUGGAGAUGCAGCUUAAAAAGAGAAAGCUGGGCACCACUUGUGACCAGGAAUGACUUUCUGAAACACAAGAGACUUUUAUGGUCAGUGGUGGUGCCAAGCCAAGUCUACACAGACUGCAGAAGAAUGGAUUUCUGACCAGUGAGCAAGGAGACCUCCCAACAAACCUCAUUCUCAUCCACCACCACCACAGUCCGCUAUCCCUUUCUUUGUAUCCUUCAACCCGUCCUCUUCUUUCUAAAUCCCCCAGUUGACCCCAAAAGGAUAAUCCAUCCCAUCCCAGCAACCAUCCGUCAAAAACCUCUCAGAUUUCACGCACACCUGUCGCAGGUCAACUUCAAAAAUGAAGUGUAAAGUUCGCCAACAAUUACAUACACACAACUUAACUGAAUUCUCCACUUGGGGACAGACAUUAUGCACUGAAUGACACUGUCUCUGGGGACGAGCGACCACACUCGUGUAUCAGACGCUGCCUCUUGGGGUCAGACGUUGUCUUCCUGGGCCACAUGCUCCAGGAUACCAAUAAACUAAACAAAUCACAAAACAACACAAAAACUCUUCAUGGCAUCAUGGGUGUUGUGGGGGAGGGAAUCGUGACAUUAAUGAAGCGACGGAGUUACGUGCCCUUCCCACGGGUGAUCACAGUCUCAUCACAAACGUGGUUGUGUACACGAGGAUGAGGAUGGUCUGACGACUGAGGCGUGACGUCUGACUGUAAGUUGUGUACGUCACCUUCAGCCACAUCGUGCAAGUGUCGUCACGUGAGGGUUAGCAUCCCCUAUGCUGACGCAUUUGGGCGUGUGUAACACGUCAUCUACAGUUCUACCAUCACGUGCUGUGACGUAGAUAGAACAAGUCUGUCCUGUUCAAACGCUUUGUAGAGAAUACAACACAUCAGCGCGGAAGAUUCUUGUCAACAUAAUGGCAAUGUUGACAUGUCAACACAGUGCUACUACAGCUGACAACAACAUUAAAACAUGACCGUUAUUAUUGCAAGUGCACAGGUUUGCUUGUGACAAGUUUUUCUUUGUUUUUCUCAGGGAAAGAAUGAAUGGAGGAUGGAUAAAUUUCUUCCAUGAAUGGCUGCUCGCUGCACUAUUUUCGAUUCGUUAAGAAAUAGAAUUGUGUAAUGCUUACAUACUUAUAAAAAUAAUUGCUUUUCACAAAUGAGCCAUUUCACACACAGCUACACUGUCAUUUUAAAGAUUUAUUCACAAAAUUACUUUUGGUAGUGCUUAGUCACGACCACGACUGACUUCGAUGCAUAAAAGAUUCCAUAAACUUCACAAGAAAAAAACUGGUUUCAUUCAUCAACUCACAGCACACGUGCUAUCCCGACAUUCUUGGUGGGUAACGGAUGUCGUCUGCACAAAAUUCCUUCAGAAAUAGUUUGCGCUAUUCCAAAGUUCAAAAACAUGGGACUCAACAGUUCCAGUAUUUUUUCAAUGCAUUUAACUAGAGGUUAAAAAUACUUACAAGAUCUUAUUCAACUUCUGAAUGUAACAGCGAGGUUUGGAUCAGCCACUGAAACAAACAAUUAAAAAAAACAACCCGAAUUAAUAAUGUCUUGCAAAUCACCACACCUCAAAAUACAUCUCCGGUGUUAUUUGUUCUCCACAUAUCUGAGGUAGUCAGGAAAAAAUGCUCAUGGCUAAAUCUGUAAUAUUGUUGGUAAAAUUACCUCUUUAUUGGUUUUUGUGAUCUUUGACAUCUGAAGAGACUUCACGAGGGUCACCAAAGGUGUAAAGUAGGAUUCUGCUCAUGUCAUUGUCCAUUCCUACCCUACACAGCAGUUAUCUCCCUUGUAUUCGACUUUUCCUCUUGUGAGCUCCAUUAUCAUUAUCCUUUGAUAUCUCUCUCACACACACACAGACACAAGAGCAGACAUCAAACACGACCACACACACACAUGCAAGCGUCCACACGUGUAUAAAGGCAUAACAACAGACUGAUGCGUGCACCCACAGACGUCUCCAUGGCACCGUCAGCUCUGGAUGCACAAGACUGGCAUUCUGGUCACGUGAGCUGUGCUACGGAGGCGUAGAAACGAGGCAGGAAAACAAAGUUGUUUGCCAACGGUCUAGUUUCGCAACGACGAUAAAAAAGAAAAUUUGUUGGAGGAGGUGAUGGUGGAGGAAUGGAAGAUAACUGAGACUAUGUACUAGGGUGGUGGCUGCAGUGAUGUAUUGAUGUAGUGAUGCACAAGUAGUUGUUAUACUGUGCAAUACGUGCUGAAUUAAAAUGAAAAUAAAAAGGAAGAAGUGAAUGAAUUGAUA